AGUGAAAGAGGGAGGGAGGAAGAACACAUGCAAGUCGAACGGCAGCACAGUAAGAGCUUGCUCUUACGGGUGGCGAGUGGCGGACGGGUGAGGAAUACAUCGGAAUCUACUUUUUCGUGGGGGAUAACGUAGGGAAACUUACGCUAAUACCGCAUACGACCUACGGGUGAAAGCAGGGGAUCUUCGGACCUUGCGCGAUUGAAUGAGCCGAUGUCGGAUUAGCUAGUUGGCGGGGUAAAGGCCCACCAAGGCGACGAUCCGUAGCUGGUCUGAGAGGAUGAUCAGCCACACUGGAACUGAGACACGGUCCAGACUCCUACGGGAGGCAGCAGUGGGGAAUAUUGGACAAUGGGCGCAAGCCUGAUCCAGCCAUACCGCGUGGGUGAAGAAGGCCUUCGGGUUGUAAAGCCCUUUUGUUGGGAAAGAAAAGCAGCAGGUUAAUACCCCGCUGUUCUGACGGUACCCAAAGAAUAAGCACCGGCUAACUUCGUG
This 492-nucleotide ribosomal RNA is filed under the name uncultured bacterium. RNAcentral describes it as "partial 16S ribosomal RNA". It matches the Rfam family "Bacterial small subunit ribosomal RNA", at positions 29 to 507 of the family's 1533-position model. The record is from RNAcentral.